UUCUCUGUCCUCUCCAUGUUUCUCUCCCUCGCUCAAAUCUGGGGAAAUGCACCGGCCCAAGUCAGGUCAGAGACGCGUUCUGUGAUAACAGGAGUUACAAUGUGUUUGUACCUUGUUCAAGCAAGAUUUGUUUUAUUCUUUUAGUGGUAAAAAUUGGGUCUGAAUUCUGUUGGUAUCGACCAUAUCUUCACCCACCGGUCUCUGUCGGUUGGUUGGUUGGUUUUUAGCAGCAUGUGGGAAUCUGUCUCUCUUGCGGGAUUUGCGGGAUCAAAGGUUUUUGUGGCUGGGAGGGGGCUGAAAAUGCAAAAACCAAAGCCGGGCACUUGAAUAACAGGAACGGGACAGAAUUAACAACAGUCCCGCUUAGGGCUCUAGUCUGAGGCCCGAUGUGUGGUGCCCCCACUGGCGGCUGUGCCCCUCUGGGCAGACCCAGUGCUCCCCGUGUCUCAGGCCAACGUUUGCUGCUCUCCCACAUUGCCACGGGCCCUCAUUGCCCCGGCCAGCCGAGCUCCCAGGCUGGGCCCCAGCAGGGUUCAAUGGCUCAUGACCCCUCCUCUCCUCACAGCCAAUCCGUGCCAGCCCUCCCUGCGGCGCCGAAUGGAACCGGGACCCUCCCUCACCUGUUCCGUGGGGGCCAAGUGCCCCCAUCUCCCCUCCUGGUACGACAGAGAUGGCGCGCGGCGGAGCCCAGAGCAAACCCCGGGCGGGGCUGGGGAGACCGAGCUGCGAAUAUCCCCGUCCCAGCUGGACCCCGGCGCAGCGCUGAGAUGCCAGGUGGAUGGAUACAGGGAUGAGUGUGACUCUGACCAAUCCCAUCCCCUGGGGACAGCCACCUCCAACGUGCUCAGGGUCGAGGUUUCAUGGCCGGCAGGGCAGACAGCGCUAAGGGAAGGCGACGGUUUUACCCUCCGCUGUCAGGCUGCUGCCCUGUGGCCCGUCGCCGGGUACGUCUGGUCCCACGGGGACGUGUGGCUGCCAGAAGCCGGGCAGGAUUUACGUGUUGACAAGGCAGCCGUCUCUGAUGGAGGGAGCUACGCGUGCGGGGUCUGGGUCUCCGGCCCCGGCUGGGGGUAUCUGAGCCUCUCUGCGAGGGAAUCGGUCAUAGUUCAGCGUAAGUAUCGAAGGCUGGAGGGAGCCUCCUCCCUCGCAACCCCCGAUACUCCCCACACGGCCUCCUGAAGCAGCCCCAUGUGCCCCCACCUCAUCCCCCCUCUUUCGUCCCUGCUCACCUCAUUAGCCCCAGCCUCAUAUUCCGCCCCCGCCUCCUAAUACCAGGGUUUGGUCAACCCCAGUGCUGCUGGCUCUGGGCU
Molecule: long non-coding RNA, 1310 nt
Filed under: Chrysemys picta bellii (western painted turtle)
Lineage: Eukaryota; Metazoa; Chordata; Testudines; Emydidae
Description: lncRNA (ENSCPBG00000004905.1)
Source: RNAcentral